GAAAUCUUGUCCACAAUCAAAACUAAAACAUGAAAAAAUUGUUUUGGCCCAUUUGACGAUUCCUUCCAAAAGAAAAGGUAGCUUUGUAAGACCUUGUAGCUUUUAAAGAUCAUUUUAAGAAAUUUCGAAACGGAUACAUAGUCAAGUAGAAGAUAGGGGUCAAAGAAGUCACAUUACAACACAUGGUUUUCAGAGAAUUAAUUAGUGUCAAUGAAGGAGAACUUAACUGUUCAGGAGUCAGAGAAGUUCUUAAAGAAAUUUUUACAGAACUGGUGGUGCAGGGAACGACGGCGCAUACUUAAGGGGUUAUAUACAUUGCGGUGCGGGAAAAUGGGGAAAAGUUUGGAUUUUUGUAAAAGUAUUUAGCCUAUUUUAUAUGAAAUUCUUGUUAUUUAUUUUGAGUAAUACAAUAUGUCAUGUGUUAAAUCAGCUUGAGCUCAUGAAAAAAUAUUAACAAUUAACGAAGUUAUUGCAAUCGGCGCAAAACGCUUUUUUUUCGAAGAGGCUUGCGGUGACUACGAUGCCGAUCCAACUGCUCAGCUGAAAUCAUAAAACCAAGCCAAUUUCAUUAGUAUAGCCACUCGUGGUUUCCUUGAACGAUUCAUACGAUUGGAAAAAUUUUUUUUUCUAAACUGGG
RNAcentral lists this small RNA (637 nucleotides) under Drosophila ananassae. RNAcentral's name for it is "GF27994". The record is from RNAcentral. Lineage: Eukaryota; Metazoa; Arthropoda; Insecta; Diptera; Drosophilidae.